RNAcentral lists this ribosomal RNA (447 nucleotides) under uncultured bacterium. RNAcentral's name for it is "SSU rRNA". It matches the Rfam family "Bacterial small subunit ribosomal RNA", at positions 26 to 518 of the family's 1533-position model. The record is from RNAcentral.
AGAGCGAACGCUGGCGGCAGGCCUAACACAUGCAAGUCGAGCGCCCGUAGCAAUACGGGAGCGGCAGACGGGAUAGUAACACGUGGGAACGCGCCCUUCGGUUCGGAAUAACUCAGGGAAACUUGAGCUAAUACCGAAUACGCCCUUACGGGGAAAGAUUUAUUGCCGAAGGAACGGCCCGCGUCCGAUUAGCUAGUUGGUGAGGUAAUGGCUCACCAAGGCUACGAUCGGUAGCUGGUCUGAGAGGAUGACCAGCAUCACUGGGACUGAGACACGGCCCAGACUCCUACGGGAGGCAGCAGUGGGGAUAUUGGACAAUGGGCGCAAGCCUGAUCCAGCCAUGCCGCGUGGAUGAUGAAGGCCUUAGGGUUGUAAAGUCCUUUUAACGGGGAAGAUAAUGACGGUACCCGUAGAAUAAGCCCCGGCUAACUUCGCGCCAGCAGCCGC